GUGAGGAAUUUUCCGCAAUGGGCGAAAGCCUGACGGAGCAAUGCCGCGUGAAGGAUGAAGGCCUAUGGGUUGUAAACUUCUUUUCUCAGAAAAGAAUUAUGACGGUAUCUGAGGAAUAAGCAUCGGCUAACUCUGUGCCAGCAGCCGCGGUAAGACAGAGGAUGCAAGCGUUAUCCGGAAUGAUUGGGCGUAAAGCGUGCGUAGGCGGUUUUGUAAGUUAGGAGUGAAAGCCCAGGGCUCAACCUUGGAAUUGCUCUUAAAACUGCAAGGCUCGAAUCUCGGAGAGGAUAGCGGAAUUUCCAGUGUAGCAGUGAAAUGCGUAGAUAUUGGAAGGAACACCAGUGGCGUAAGCGGCUAUCUGGACGAGUAUUGACGCUGAGGCACGAAAGCGUGGGGAUCAAACAGGAUUAGAAACCCUGGUAGUCC
Molecule: ribosomal RNA, 426 nt
Filed under: uncultured bacterium
Lineage: Bacteria
Description: partial 16S ribosomal RNA
Rfam family: Bacterial small subunit ribosomal RNA
Source: RNAcentral